Molecule: microRNA, 23 nt
Filed under: Monodelphis domestica (gray short-tailed opossum)
Lineage: Eukaryota; Metazoa; Chordata; Mammalia; Didelphimorphia; Didelphidae
Description: mdo-miR-7280-5p
Source: miRBase by way of RNAcentral
CAGCAGAGAGCACGGAGCCGCGA